AGUCAUGAGCAUCCACAGAGUUGUCCAAGCCAGAAAUACUGAAGUCAAUCUAACUCUUCUCUCUUCUAACAAGUUAUGAUUGAGGCAACUUGGGAUAAUCUGCUCAGCAUUCCUUGUUUCUCUCCACACAGGGUAAACAUUUGAGUCACCACGGUAAAGCAACGGGACACUGUAUCUCAUGCCAGUGAAUUGGUCCAGGGGUAAACAGCUGAAGUAAGCUGAAUUUUGGACUUGGAACCACUGGGGACAUGAGGUUCUGUUUUUUUUUUUUUUUUUUAAUGGUGGAAACAGCAAGAUGCAAGGCUAAAGCUAUUGGUGUUUCUGUAUGUUCUCUGUACGUUUCCCAUCAUACAGAGAAAACUAAUCAGUAAUGAGCUAAAAUGAUAUUGACAUGAAGAAAAGAUAGCAGAGAGAGACCCAGAAGGACUGAAAUCCCUGGUUAUUCAUAAGACUCAAGUGUCUCCCUCCUCAUCCUGAAACUUGAUUGUUCACAUGAAUGAAGUUCAGAAGGAUGAAAGCUUGGAGUGUAAGGGUCAGAGAAGGAUUACAGCUGAGACUCAAGAGAGAAGACCUGGAAAGAGGAACUGCACUUGGUUGCUGGAAUCUCAGAUCUUCAAGUUGGACAGCUGAUUUCCAACACAAUGGCCACCUCAGGAUUUACCGUGGCAAAGCUGCUUUAUAAAUUUUUGUUGAAUUAUUGAAAAGUUAUGCACGUUUUAUUCACUCAUAUAUACCCAAUGCCAAACACAUAGAAUAUGACUGGCAAAUAACUAUUGGCUGAAUGAAUAACUAACCCUAACCCAAAUUAUGACGAAUUUGGCCCUCUGCAUUCUUCCACUUGCUCUUCAGUGACUUAUUCCUUGGUUUCAACAACAUUCCCUUCCUUCCUUGUGAUAUUGUUUGAGGAGGAGCCUAGUAUGGUAGUUAUUUGCUCAGGCUCUAGAAACAGACAAACCCAUUUUCAAACAACAGAAACUCACUUCUACUACCUACUAGGUGAACAAUUAGUUUGACCUCUAGCCUCACUUUCUUUACUGGUAAAAGGAAUAAUAGUAUUACCCUGGAGAGCCGUUAUGAGGCUUAAAGCAAACACAGCAUAUGAAGCAUGUAGCCUAGUACCUGGUGAGAUACUGGUUCAAUGGUAAAGAAUCCUCCUGCCAGUGCAGGAGAUGCAAGAGAUGCAGGUUUGACCCCUGGGUCAGGAAGAUCCCCUGGAGAAGGAAAUGGCAACCCACUCCAGUAUUCUUGCCUGGUGAAUCCCUUGGACACAGAAGCCUGGCAGACUACAGUCCAUAAGGUCUCAAAGAGUCAGAUAUGAUUGAGCGCACGUGCACGACAAUGACAGACCCUGGUCAGCACUAAGUCAAGUUGAUACAUCACAUACAGUUACUUAACUGCACCCCUGUUUAAGCUGUGUAUUUCUCCAAAUAUUAAAUGACCCAAAACUACCACCCCACCACCACACACACACACACACAUGCACAAAGUGGUUUUCAACCCAUUUGCCAGUCCCUCAGAGAUUCUAAUGGGACAAAGUAGGUGAUUAAAUAGUUAAUCCCAUUUGGGUACUGUAAAACAGGAAGAGUGUGGGAGACUCCUCUAGGUUAAUAAUUACUCAAGAAAGUAUGUUUGGGCUUCUGUGGUGGCUCAGCAGUAAAGAAUACAAAGGCCAAUGCAGGAGACAUGGGUUGAAUCCCUGGUCCAGGAAGAUCCCACAUGCCUCAGAGCAACUAAGACUGUGCUUCCCAACAAGAGAAACCACAAAAAUGAGAAGACAGCACACCAUGACUAGAGAGUAGCUCCCGCUCGCUGCAACUAGGGAAAAAGCUUUCACAGCAACGGAGACCCAGCACAGCCAAAAAUAAAUAAAGAAAAUUAUUAAAGAAAAAAAAAAGA
RNAcentral lists this long non-coding RNA (1896 nucleotides) under Bos indicus x Bos taurus (hybrid cattle). Its description in RNAcentral is "lncRNA (ENSBIXG00005019549.1)". Lineage: Eukaryota; Metazoa; Chordata; Mammalia; Artiodactyla; Bovidae. The record is from RNAcentral.